UACAGGUCCGAUAUACAGGUCCGAUAUACAUACAGGUCUGAUAUACAGGUCCGAUAUACAGGUCCGAUAUACAGGUCCGAUAUACAGGGGUCCGAUAUACAGGGGUCCGAUAUACAGGUCUGAUAUACAUACAGGUCCGAUAUACAAGUCCGAUAUACAUACAGGUCUGAUAUACAGGGGUCCGCUAUACAGGUCCGAUAUACAUACAGGUCUGAUAUACAGGGGUCCGAUAUACACGUCCGAUAUACAUACAGGUCUGAUAUACAGGGGUCCGAUAUACAGGGGUCCGAUAUACAGGGGUGCGAUAUACAGGGGUCCGAUAUACAGGUCCGAUAUACAGGGGUCCGAUAUACAGGGGUCCGAUAUAC
Molecule: long non-coding RNA, 368 nt
Filed under: Salmo salar (Atlantic salmon)
Lineage: Eukaryota; Metazoa; Chordata; Actinopteri; Salmoniformes; Salmonidae
Description: lncRNA (ENSSSAG00000097668.1)
Source: RNAcentral